AAGUGAAGUCAGGCAGGAGGAAAGAUGGCUGAUCUGGUGCUCAGCAAGCCAUUCCUGAGCCGUAUAGAUAUUAUCCCAUGAAAACACCUGGAAGAGUACUUUCUAACAGAGCAGCCGCCUUCUUAGUGAUGACCAUGACGAUGAUGGUGGUAUUCUUUACCAUUCAUUGAACACUGGCUACAUUCCCGGCACUGUUCAAGAUGCUGGGAGCGUGACUGAUACCGUUAAGCGGGAGAGACAGAUUAUAAACAUAAUAAACAGUAAAUAGCUACUAUUUCCUAAGGACUUAACUAUGUUCCGAGAACAUUUUACAUACAUUAUUUCACAACUGCCCUGCACAGGAGAUGGCAUUCUCCCCAUUUUACAUGUAAGGAAACUGAGGCUUAGAGAAGGUGACUGCCCACGAUCACCCAAUUAGAAGACGAAAUCAGUGCGUCUACUCCAGGACCCCCGCUAGCUGCUUCUGACUCGGGGCAGGACCAACAUUCCCUUGGAAGGCGAGGCCACAGUGAGGAUUCACAAGGCCCAGGACAAUGAUGAGCUCGCCGGUGAAACUGCUGAGGUCAGUUUUCCUGGAGGCCCCAGUGAGAUAUAGUCUGCACCACCCAUCGCCAUGGACCCCAGGCUUCAAUCAGGUGCGGUAUCCAUGGAGGCACUGUGCACCCCGCUACUCUCAGCUUAUCGAGUCCUUGUGAAUGUGGUAAGUCAGCACUAGGUCUGAACUCUCUCACUGCAUUGAGUUCCUUGGCUAUUUAUUGUCAGUUUGGUACCAGGUUUUGUUAUGGGUUCCAUUUACUUGGCAUCCUUG
This is a long non-coding RNA of Equus caballus (horse), 808 nucleotides long. Lineage: Eukaryota; Metazoa; Chordata; Mammalia; Perissodactyla; Equidae. The record is from Ensembl.